Molecule: ribosomal RNA, 496 nt
Filed under: uncultured bacterium
Lineage: Bacteria
Description: partial 16S ribosomal RNA
Rfam family: Bacterial small subunit ribosomal RNA
Source: RNAcentral
AUGAACGCUGGCGGCGUGCCUAAUACAUGCAAGUCGAGCGAACGGACGAGAAGCUUGCUUCUCUGAUGUUAGCGGCGGACGGGUGAGUAACACGUGGAUAACCUACCUAUAAGACUGGGAUAACUUCGGGAAACCGGAGCUAAUACCGGAUGAUAUUUUGAACCGCAUGGUUCAAAAGUGAAAGACGGUCUUGCUGUCACUUAUAGAUGGAUCCGCGCUGCAUUAGCUAGUUGGUAAGGUAACGGCUUACCAAGGCAACGAUGCAUAGCCGACCUGAGAGGGUGAUCGGCCACACUGGAACUGAGACACGGUCCAGACUCCUACGGGAGGCAGCAGUAGGGAAUCUUCCGCAAUGGGCGAAAGCCUGACGGAGCAACGCCGCAUGAGUGAUGAAGGUCUUCGGAUCGUAAAACUCUGUUAUUAGGGAAGAACAUAUGUGUAAGUAACUGUGCACAUCUUGACGGUACCUAAUCAGAAAGCCACGGCUAACUACGUG